GGGCGUGUGGCGUAGUCGGUAGCGCGCGCCCUUAGCAUGGGAGAGGUCUCCGGUUCGAUUCCGGACUCGUCCA
Molecule: transfer RNA, 73 nt
Filed under: Saccharomyces cerevisiae (brewer's yeast)
Lineage: Eukaryota; Fungi; Ascomycota; Saccharomycetes; Saccharomycetales; Saccharomycetaceae
Also listed under: 1 other name
Rfam family: tRNA
About the family: Transfer RNA (tRNA) molecules are approximately 80 nucleotides in length. Their secondary structure includes four short double-helical elements and three loops (D, anti-codon, and T loops).
Source: RNAcentral